UACGUAGGGUGCAAGCGUUGUCCGGAAUUAUUGGGCGUAAAGAGCUCGUAGGCGGUUCGUCGCGUCGGCUGUGAAAACCUGAGGCUCAACCUCAGGCCUGCAGUCGAUACGGGCGGACUUGAGUACUGCAGGGGAGACUGGAAUUCCUGGUGUAGCGGUGAAAUGCGCAGAUAUCAGGAGGAACACCGGUGGCGAAGGCGGGUCUCUGGGCAGUAACUGACGCUGAGGAGCGAAAGCGUGGGGAGCGAGCAGG
RNAcentral lists this ribosomal RNA (253 nucleotides) under uncultured bacterium. RNAcentral's name for it is "partial 16S ribosomal RNA". It matches the Rfam family "Bacterial small subunit ribosomal RNA", at positions 524 to 776 of the family's 1533-position model. The record is from RNAcentral.